UGCGGAGGGUGCAAGCGUUAUCCGGAUUCACUGGGUUUAAAGGGUGCGUAGGCGGGCAGGUAAGUCCGUGGUGAAAUCUCUGAGCUUAACUCAGAAACUGCCAUGGAUACUAUUUGUCUUGAAUAUUGUGGAGGUAAGCGGAAUAUGUCAUGUAGCGGUGAAAUGCUUAGAUAUGACAUAGAACACCAAUUGCGAAGGCAGCUUACUACACAGUUAUUGACGCUGAGGCACGAAAGCGUGGGGAUCAAACAGG
This 253-nucleotide ribosomal RNA is filed under the name uncultured bacterium. RNAcentral's name for it is "partial 16S ribosomal RNA". It matches the Rfam family "Bacterial small subunit ribosomal RNA", at positions 524 to 776 of the family's 1533-position model. The record is from RNAcentral.